UUCGCCGCCGUGCCGUUAAGCGCUCUGGGGAAAAGCUGGGCCCGCGCGGAGCGCGCUCUUCUUGCGCCGAGAGAACGGUGCGGAAACUCCCGGGGGAGUCCGCCCGGCGCGGGCAGCACGAGGACGCCGACAUGUUAACGGGCUUCAAAACUGACAGGUCUUGUGCUGCCGUAGCAGCGGGCAGCCCCUGGGCCCACCAGGAGGCGGUCCGGCGGAGCCGGCGCUACGGAGGCGUCGGAGCCCUUAGGCUGCGGCUGCCCUCAGCAGCCGCGGGAUUCAGCGACAGCGCUCCCCUGUGCGGGAGCCUCUUUAUCAAAGGAUUCGAAUUAGCAGAAUAGCGGGAACGUGUCCGUGCCUCCGAGCCAGACCAAGGGCUUCAUGUAAUUUCCAAGUGCAAUGAGAAGCUUCCCAAAAUAGAAUCUGUAUCAAAGACUUGAUUGCUUCCUCAGUUAAUAACUAACCAUUUCAGAAGACUGGUAGAAAGUAUCACUAUGUGCAACAACUUGAAUAUUAACGACAAAGGAAAAGCACUCAUUUCCUGCAAGCAGCAAGGCCAAAGGUCUGUUCAGCGAAGGGCAGACACAACAGAAUCCCAGUAAAGAAUUUUUCCCACAGUGCUCUCAGAGAAGCUCUAGAUGCUUGAUGAAUGGUGUGACUGGUUCAACUGCCACUGCUAAAAACAGACCAACCCCAGCUGCAUAUAAUGGUUGAGCUGCCUGAACUGGGACUGCGGAGAUGAACAAGAAGUAAUAGUAAUAAUAAUAAUAUAUAUAAAAAUAUAAUUAUUAGAUAUAUAUAUAAUAAUUAUCUCAGGAUUGUGACUGAAUUCUCUGAUACAUUAAGAAACCUGCAGCAAAAAAAAAAAAAAAACAACACCCAAACCAAUCAAGGUGCUUAAGUAGUUUGCUGACUGUAACUGGAAGACAACUGACUAAUGCUGUUUCCCUAUUUAAGUUCCCCAGCUUUAAGACUGAAGAAUCUGUGUCCCCAGAGCUCCUAAGCCGUAGGAAGUAGUACUUGUCAGUGUAGGUAGUUUUGACCCCAUGGAGCUUGUCCUGCAUUUUCACACUAACCAUCCAAAGGUAGGAACUUGUAUAGGUUUGCCCUGAAGUUAAUGUAAGGUUAUUAGCAAUCAGGUAACAGAUGUUUCAUUAACUACUUGUAUUUAUUUUUAAGUUACAUAUUAGUUAACUGCCAAGUUAAUAAUUUGCUUUCUGAAUGUAUCCCCUAAUAGCAAUUUCAAGUUAUCAAAUCACAAGCAGAGCUGCUUUCUGGUUUAUCAUACAGUUAGUUGUAUUUCAAUUAUAUUGUAAACCAGCAAGACAAUAGGACAGAAAUUAAUCAAAUCAUCAGAGCGAGAUCUCAAAAAGUUUUCUCAGUCAGCGCCAGAAGUUUAGCAAUGACUUCAAAAGCUAACUAUAAGAGUUGUAUUAAGUGUUCAAGAACAUCAUGCACUUCUAGGAUCCA
This is a non-coding RNA of Meleagris gallopavo (turkey), 1467 nucleotides long. The record is from RefSeq and is a predicted model, not a curated record. NCBI's taxonomy places the organism in Eukaryota, Metazoa, Chordata, Aves, Galliformes, Phasianidae.